AACCUGGGAACUGCAUUCGAAACUGGCAGGCUAGAGUCUUGUAGAGGGGGGUAGAAUUCCAGGUGUAGCGGUGAAAUGCGUAGAGAUCUGGAGGAAUACCGGUGGCGAAGGCGGCCCCCUGGACAAAGACUGACGCUCAGGUGCGAAAGCGUGGGGAGCAAACAGGAUUAGAUACCCUGGUAGUCCACGCCGUAAACGAUGUCGAUUUGGAGGUUGUGCCCUUGAGGCGUGGCUUCCGGAGCUAACGCGUUAAAUCGACCGCCUGGGGAGUACGGCCGCAAGGUUAAAACUCAAAUGAAUUGACGGGGGCCCGCACAAGCGGUGGAGCAUGUGGUUUAAUUCGAUGCAACGCGAAGAACCUUACCUGGUCUUGACAUCCACAGAACUUUCCAGAGAUGGAUUGGUGCCUUCGGGAACUGUGAGACAGGUGCUGCAUGGCUGUCGUCAGCUCGUGUUGUGAAAUGUUGGGUUAAGUCCCGCAACGAGCGCAACCCUUAUCCUUUGUUG
This 507-nucleotide ribosomal RNA is filed under the name Klebsiella pneumoniae. RNAcentral describes it as "bacterial SSU rRNA". It matches the Rfam family "Bacterial small subunit ribosomal RNA", at positions 611 to 1117 of the family's 1533-position model. The record is from RNAcentral. Lineage: Bacteria; Pseudomonadati; Pseudomonadota; Gammaproteobacteria; Enterobacterales; Enterobacteriaceae.